GUAAAUGUCCUACCUGGUUUUCAGUGGCAAAUAUUUGUUUGUCUCUUCCCAAUAAAUUCCUCAUUCCCAGUCAUCGGUAAAUGUCUGGUCAUUCUUUUUGAUGUCGGUAAACAUCAUCUUUCGAUGUCGGUAAACAUCGAGUCUCAUCCCAGUCAUCGGUAAAUGUCUGGUCAUUCUUUGUUCUCUUGUUAAUAAAACCAAAAUCCCCAGAAGUCGUCGGUAA
Molecule: long non-coding RNA, 223 nt
Filed under: Lathyrus oleraceus (garden pea)
Lineage: Eukaryota; Viridiplantae; Streptophyta; Magnoliopsida; Fabales; Fabaceae
Description: Pisum sativum (pea) long non-coding RNA (PSAT_LNC041330)
Source: RNAcentral